CGUAGGUGGCAAGCGUUGUCCGGAUUUAUUGGGCGUAAAGCGAACGCAGGCGGGAGAACAAGUCAGCUGUGAAAGCCCUCGGCUUAACCGAGGAACGGCAACUGAAACUGUUUUUCUUGAGUGCAGAAGAGGAGAGUGGAACUCCAUGUGUAGCGGUGAAAUGCGUAGAUAUAUGGAAGAACACCAGUGGCGAAGGCGGCUCUCUGGUCUGUAACUGACGCUGAGGUUCGAAAGCAUGGGUAGCGAACAGGAUU
This 254-nucleotide ribosomal RNA is filed under the name uncultured bacterium. Its description in RNAcentral is "partial 16S ribosomal RNA". It matches the Rfam family "Bacterial small subunit ribosomal RNA", at positions 526 to 779 of the family's 1533-position model. The record is from RNAcentral.